This 422-nucleotide ribosomal RNA is filed under the name uncultured bacterium. RNAcentral describes it as "bacterial SSU rRNA". It matches the Rfam family "Bacterial small subunit ribosomal RNA", at positions 794 to 1222 of the family's 1533-position model. The record is from RNAcentral.
UCCACGCCGUAAACGAUGAGAACUAAGUGUUGGAGUGAAAUUCAGUGCUGAAGUUAACGCAUUAAGUUCUCCGCCUGGGUAGUACGGUCGCAAGACUGAAACUCAAAGGAAUUGACGGGAACCCGCACAAGCGGUGGAGUAUGUUGUUUAAUUCGAAGAUACACGAAGAACCUUACCAGGUCUUGACAUACCAUUGACCGGUGCAGAGAUGCAUCUUUCCUUCGGGACAAUGGAUACAGGUGGUGCAUGGUUGUCGUCAGCUCGUGCCGUGAGGUGUUGGGUUAAGUCCCGCAACGAGCGCAACCCCUAUUGAUAGUUGCUACCAUUAAGUUGAGGACUCUAUUGAGACUGCCAGUGAUAAACUGGAGGAAGGUGGGGAUGACGUCAAAUCAUCAUGCCCUUUAUGACCUGGGCUACAAACG